UAUAGAAUGAAAGCUGCUUUCGUUCUUUUUCUUGUCCUAUACCUAGAAGAGCACUUGGUACAGAGUGCCUGGUUUGAACAUACUGAUGCUCUGAAAGAUGACUCCAGGAGAGUUUGAGGAGGCAAACACCGUCUACACAGUACUACAAGGUAAGUUUUAGAAAUUGUGCAGGUUUGGUGCCUAUGUCCCCAGAACCAGAAAUCGUAAUCACUGCAUGGCAGAAAGAACAAUCAGCUGGUAAUAGGGAGUUACUAAGCAGACAAAGACAAUAUUGCUAAGGACAGCCUUGUGACAAUAAUAACAGGAUCAGCCCCAGUAAUUAGGCAGUUUGUAGCAGUUGAUAGGAAAAGACAAAGAGUUAUCUGUGAUUAACCUACAUACCCAGGCACUUAGAUUGCCGAAGAAUCACAGAUGGCACAAAAAAAUGUGUAGAAGAGAUGAGUCCCAAAUUGUGUGCACUGAAAAUACAAGUUGAUGUAUUUUUCUAAAGGAAGGCCAUUUUAUACUAUUCUUAUACAAAAUCAUAAAGUUGUUUAGAAAAAAACACCAGAAAGAACAAAAGGAAAUGGAAGGAUAUGCAAUCAUAGUAAAGGGAAAAACAGAAAAGAGUGAUCAGAAGGACCUCUCCAGUCAACCUAUACAAAUACAAGCAAAAUGAUUCAGAAAUUGUUCCUGUCCUCAAGGGGUUUAUAGGUUAACGCAGGACACAUGCUCACGUGCGCAUACACACACACACACGUGCGCGUGCACAAAUG
This 755-nucleotide long non-coding RNA is filed under the name Callithrix jacchus (white-tufted-ear marmoset). Its description in RNAcentral is "lncRNA (ENSCJAG00000074807.1)". The record is from RNAcentral. Lineage: Eukaryota; Metazoa; Chordata; Mammalia; Primates; Cebidae.